GUCUUUUUGAUUUUAAUUUAAAGUCUGGCCUGCCCAAUGAAUAAUUGAAUGGCCGCAGUAUUUUGACUGUGCAAAGGUAGCAUAAUCAUUAGUUUCUUAAUUAGUAACUGGAAUGAAAGGUCGAACGAAAGAAUGACUGUCUCUGUGUAAAUUAGUUAAAAUUUUAUUUUUAAGUUAAAAAGCUUAGAUAUAUUUAAAAGACGAGAAGACCCUAUAGAGUUUUAUUUAAAUUUAUAUAAGAAUUUAUUUAGAAUAUUUGAAGAUUUAUAUAAAUUUGAAUUUAAUUGGGGUGAUUAAAAAAUUUAGUAAACUUUUUUUUUAUUUAAACAUUAUUGUAUGAUUAAUUGAUCCAUUAUUUAUGAUUAUAAGAUUAAAUUACCUUAGGGAUAACAGCGUAAUUUCUUUGUAGAGUUCAAAUCAUUAAAGAAGUUUGCGACCUCGAUGUUGGAUUAAAAUUUAUUUUUGGUGUAGUAGCUAGAAGAUUAGGUCUGUUCGACCUUUAAAAUUUUACAUGAUCUGAGUUUAAACCGGUGUGAGCCAGGUUGGUUUCUAUCUUUAAAUUAUUUAGAUAUUUUAGUACGAAAGGACCAAAUAUAUUAAAAAUUUUAUUUAAUAUGAAUAUUAUUAAUUUAA
Molecule: ribosomal RNA, 633 nt
Filed under: Aloconota cambrica
Lineage: Eukaryota; Metazoa; Arthropoda; Insecta; Coleoptera; Staphylinidae
Description: partial 16S ribosomal RNA
Rfam family: Bacterial large subunit ribosomal RNA
Source: RNAcentral